UGGGGAAUAUUGCACAAUGGGCGCAAGCCUGAUGCAGCCAUGCCGCGUGUGUGAAGAAGGCCUUCGGGUUGUAAAGCACUUUCAGCGAGGAGGAAGGUGGUGAGCUUAAUACGCUCAUCAAUUGACGUUACUCGCAGAAGAAGCACCGGCUAACUCCGUGCCAGCAGCCGCGGUAAUACGGAGGGUGCAAGCGUUAAUCGGAAUUACUGGGCGUAAAGCGCACGCAGGCGGUUUGUUAAGUCAGAUGUGAAAUCCCCGGGCUCAACCUGGGAACUGCAUUUGAAACUGGCAAGCUAGAGUCUCGUAGAGGGGGGUAGAAUUCCAGGUGUAGCGGUGAAAUGCGUAGAGAUCUGGAGGAAUACCGGUGGCGAAGGCGGCCCCCUGGACGAAGACUGACGCUCAGGUGCGAAAGCGUGGGGCAGCAAACAGGAUUAGAUACCCUGGUAGUCCACGCUGUAAACGAUGUCGAUUUUGGAGGUUGUGCCCUUGAGGCGUGGCUUCCGGAGCUAACGCGUUAAAGUCGACCACCUGGGGGAGUACGGCC
This 544-nucleotide ribosomal RNA is filed under the name uncultured bacterium. Its description in RNAcentral is "partial 16S ribosomal RNA". It matches the Rfam family "Bacterial small subunit ribosomal RNA", at positions 355 to 887 of the family's 1533-position model. The record is from RNAcentral.